CCUACGGGAGGCAGCAGUAAGGAAUAUUGGUCAAUGGAGGCAACUCUGAACCAGCCAUGCCGCGUGCAGGAGGACGGCCCUAUGGGUUGUAAACUGCUUUUGAACUAGAGAAAACCUUGGUACGUGUACCGAGUUGAUAGUAUAGUUAGAAUAAGCAUCGGCUAACUUCGUGCCAGCAGCCGCGGUAAGACGAAGGAUGCAAGCGUUAUCCGGAUUCAUUGGGUUUAAAGGGUGCGUAGGCGGACUGAUAAGUCAGUGGUGAAAUCUCUCAGCUUAACUGAGAAACUGCCAUUGAUACUGUUAGUCUAGAGUAUAGAUGAUGUGGGCGGAAUAUGACAUGUAGUGGUGAAAUACUUAGAUAUGUCAUAGAACACCGAUUGCGAAGGCAGCUCACAAAACUGUAAACUGACGCUGAGGCACGAAAGUGCGGGGAUCAAACAGGAUUAGAUACCCUGGUAGUCCGCACCGUAAACGAUGAUUACUCGUUGUUGGCGAAUNUGACAGCGAGCGACCGAACGACGAAGAACGAGUAAGUUAAGUUACCGUACCGUUACGGGUUAGGUACGGCCGGCCGGACGGUACGGAACGUUACGAAGAAGUUAGUUAGGACGGCGAGAGAGACGACGGACGGACGACGACGGAGGAGGUAG
This 650-nucleotide ribosomal RNA is filed under the name uncultured bacterium. RNAcentral's name for it is "bacterial SSU rRNA". The stretch from base 1 to 544 matches the Rfam family "Bacterial small subunit ribosomal RNA", at positions 338 to 873 of the family's 1533-position model. The record is from RNAcentral.